Molecule: ribosomal RNA, 497 nt
Filed under: uncultured bacterium
Lineage: Bacteria
Description: partial 16S ribosomal RNA
Rfam family: Bacterial small subunit ribosomal RNA
Source: RNAcentral
GAUGAACGCUGGCGGCGUGCCUAAUACAUGCAAGUCGAGCGAACAGACGAGGAGCUUGCUCCUCUGACGUUAGCGGCGGACGGGUGAGUAACACGUGGAUAACCUACCUAUAAGACUGGGAUAACUUCGGGAAACCGGAGCUAAUACCGGAUAAUAUAUUGAACCGCAUGGUUCAAUAGUGAAAGACGGUUUUGCUGUCACUUAUAGAUGGAUCCGCGCCGCAUUAGCUAGUUGGUAAGGUAACGGCUUACCAAGGCAACGAUGCGUAGCCGACCGGAGAGGGUGAUCGGCCACACUGGAACGGAGCAACGGCCCAGACGCCUACGGGAGGCAGCAGUAGGGAAUCUUCCGCAAUGGGCGAAAGCCUGACGGAGCAACGCCGCGUGAGUGAUGAAGGUCUUCGGAUCGUAAAACUCUGUUAUUAGGGAAGAACAAAUGUGUAAGUAACUAUGCACGUCUUGACGGUACCUAAUCAGAAAGCCACGGCUAACUACGUG